RNAcentral lists this ribosomal RNA (500 nucleotides) under uncultured bacterium. RNAcentral's name for it is "partial 16S ribosomal RNA". It matches the Rfam family "Bacterial small subunit ribosomal RNA", at positions 30 to 523 of the family's 1533-position model. The record is from RNAcentral.
AUUGAACGCUGGCGGAAUGCUUUACACAUGCAAGUCGAACGGCAGCACGGACUUCGGUCUGGUGGCGAGUGGCGAACGGGUGAGUAAUGUAUCGGAACGUGCCCAGUCGUGGGGGAUAACGUAGUGAAAAUUACGCUAAUACCGCAUACGAUCUAUGGAUGAAAGCGGGGGAUCGCAAGACCUCGCGCGAUUGGAGCGGCCGAUAUCAGAGUAGGUAGUUGGUGGGGUAAAGGCGCACCAAGCCAACGAUCUGUAGCUGGUCUGAGAGGACCACCAGCCACACUGGAACUGAGACACGGUCCAGACUCCUACGGGAGGCAGCAGUGGGGAAUUUUGGACAAUGGGCGAAAGCCUGAUCCAGCCAUUCCGCGUGCAGGAUGAAGGCCCUCGGGUUGUAAACUGCUUUUGUACAGAACGAAAAGGUUUCUACUAAUACUAGGAGCUCAUGACGGUACUGUAAGAAUAAGCACCGGCUAACUACGUGCCAGCCGCCGCGGUAA